RNAcentral lists this ribosomal RNA (305 nucleotides) under uncultured bacterium. Its description in RNAcentral is "bacterial SSU rRNA". It matches the Rfam family "Bacterial small subunit ribosomal RNA", at positions 338 to 659 of the family's 1533-position model. The record is from RNAcentral.
CCUACGGGGGGCAGCAGUCGGGAAUAUUGCGCAAUGGAGGAAACUCUGACGCAGUGACGCCGCGUAUAGGACGAAGGUCUUCGGAUUGUAAACUAUUGUCGUUAGGGAAGAGAAAGGACAGUACCUAAGGAGGAAGCUCCGGCUAACUACGUGCCAGCAGCCGCGGUAAUACGUAGGGAGCAAGCGUUAUCCGGAUUUAUUGGGUGUAAAGGGUGCGUAGACGGGAAAUUAAGUUAGUUGUGAAAUCCCUCGGCUCAACUGAGGAACUGCAACUAAAACUGGUUUUCUUGAGUGUUGGAGAGGAA